RNAcentral lists this ribosomal RNA (402 nucleotides) under bacterium enrichment culture clone ALO1_GLFRUDD03FJIVW. RNAcentral describes it as "bacterial SSU rRNA". It matches the Rfam family "Bacterial small subunit ribosomal RNA", at positions 9 to 411 of the family's 1533-position model. The record is from RNAcentral.
GAGUUUGAUCCUGGCUCAGAUUGAACGCUGGCGGCAUGCCUUACACAUGCAAGUCGAACGGCAGCACGGGAGCUUGCUCCUGGUGGCGAGUGGCGAACGGGUGAGUAAUGCAUCGGAACGUAUCCUGGAGUGGGGGAUAACGUAGCGAAAGUUACGCUAAUACCGCAUAUUCUGUGAGCAGGAAAGCGGGGGACCUUCAGGCCUCGCGCUCUUGGAGCGGCCGAUGUCGGAUUAGCUAGUUGGUGAGGUAAAGGCUCACCAAGGCGACGAUCCGUAGCAGGUCUGAGAGGAUGAUCUGCCACACUGGAAUGAGACACGGUCCAGACUCCUACGGGAGGCAGCAGUGGGAAUUUUGGACAAGUGGGGGCGAACCCUGAUCCAGCCAUGCCGCGUGAAUGAAGA